This 324-nucleotide ribosomal RNA is filed under the name uncultured eukaryote. Its description in RNAcentral is "partial 18S ribosomal RNA". It matches the Rfam family "Eukaryotic small subunit ribosomal RNA", at positions 1470 to 1796 of the family's 1831-position model. The record is from RNAcentral.
CCCUUAGAUGUCCUGGGCUGCACGCGCGCUACACUGAUGUGUCCAGUAAGCACCUAACCUAUUCCGAGAGGAGCGGGUAACCUUAGCAAAGCACAUCGUGAUGGGGAUAGAUUAUUGCAAUUAUUAGUCUUGAACGAGGAAUUCCUAGUAAGCACAAGUCAUCAGCUUGUGUUGAUUACGUCCCUGCCCUUUGUACGCACCGCCCGUCGCUCCUACCGAUUGAAUGUUCCGGUGAGCUCUUCGGACUGCGCGGUCUGCAGUUUCUGCGUUCCGUGCGGAAAGUUGUGCAAACCUUAACAUUUAGAGGAAGGAGAAGUCGUAACA